UUUCCUCCAUCAUUCGAAGAUAUUUUUGGUGACGACCUCCAGCCUCAACAUUCGACACGAUCCGGAUCAUCCUCAUACCACCCGGAGUUCCAUCCCGAAGCAUGUACACCUACCACUGAGGAUAUUUUUCCAUCGGCACAUUCGGUCACCCAAUACCAAUUAAGUCCCGAUUAUGGUGUAUAUGAUUAUUCUACCUUUCUAACUACACCGGAUGGGACACCGGAAGCCGGACCGAGCAAUUAUCAAACGCUUCAACAAGGUGCACGGCAUCGCCAACGGAGGCAUCCGGACUGUUACACGUCAGCGCUGGGGAUGUCACCGGGAUUGCGACAAUUUUAAUUUUUUAUUGUUAAUUUUUACUUAAUUUAAAAUUAUUAUGUAAAUAUUUCUUUUAUUUUUA
Molecule: long non-coding RNA, 400 nt
Filed under: Gossypium barbadense (sea-island cotton)
Lineage: Eukaryota; Viridiplantae; Streptophyta; Magnoliopsida; Malvales; Malvaceae
Description: long non-coding RNA (GBAR_LNC016710)
Source: RNAcentral